CGCCAGACUCCUACGGGAGGCAGCAGUGGGGAAUAUUGCACAAUGGGGGAAACCCUGAUGCAGCAACGCCGCGUGAGUGAAGAAGUAUUUCGGUAUGUAAAGCUCUCUCGGCAGGGAAGAAAAUGACGGUACCUGAGUAAGAAGCCCCGGCUAACUACGUGCCAGCAGCCGCGGUAAUACGUAGGGGGCAAGCGUUAUCCGGAUUUACUGGGUGUAAAGGGAGCGUAGACGGCAGUGCAAGUCUGGAGUGAAAGGCGGGGGCUCAACCCCCGGACUGCUCUGGAAACUGUACGGCUGGAGUGCAGGAGAGGUAAGUGGAAUUCCUAGUGUAGCGGUGAAAUGCGUAGAUAUCAGGAGGAACACCGGUGGCGAAGGCGGCCUGCUGGACUGCAACUGACGUUGAGGCCCGAAAGCGUGGGGAGCAAACAGGAUUAGAUACCCGGGUACG
RNAcentral lists this ribosomal RNA (448 nucleotides) under uncultured bacterium. Its description in RNAcentral is "bacterial SSU rRNA". It matches the Rfam family "Bacterial small subunit ribosomal RNA", at positions 329 to 793 of the family's 1533-position model. The record is from RNAcentral.